GUAGGUGGCAAGCGUUGUCCGGAGUUAUUGGGCGUAAAGCGCGCGCAGGCGGUUCUUUAAGUCUGAUGUGAAAGCCCACGGCUCAACCGUGGAGGGUCAUUGGAAACUGGAGAACUUGAGUACAGAAGAGGAAAGCGGAAUUCCACGUGUAGCGGUGAAAUGCGUAGAGAUGUGGAGGAACACCAGUGGCGAAGGCGGCUUUCUGGUCUGUAACUGACGCUGAGGCGCGAAAGCGUGGGGGAGCAAACAGGAUUAGAUACCCUGGUAGUCCACGCCGUAAACGAUGAGUGCUAAGUGUUAGGGGGUUUUCCGCCCCGUUAGUGCUGCAGCUAACGCAUUAAGCACUCCGCCUGGGUAGUACGGCCGCAAGGCUG
This 374-nucleotide ribosomal RNA is filed under the name uncultured organism. RNAcentral describes it as "partial 16S ribosomal RNA". It matches the Rfam family "Bacterial small subunit ribosomal RNA", at positions 527 to 896 of the family's 1533-position model. The record is from RNAcentral.